This 1456-nucleotide long non-coding RNA is filed under the name Brassica napus (rape). Its description in RNAcentral is "long non-coding RNA (BNAP_LNC020857)". The record is from RNAcentral. Lineage: Eukaryota; Viridiplantae; Streptophyta; Magnoliopsida; Brassicales; Brassicaceae.
CCACAGCCACGAGGUCGGUUGGUCUUGAUCUAUUGUUGUUUAAUUAUUCUUCUCUGUUCUUUUUAUAGUUCUUCUUUGUUCAGCUAUGUGUUUUUUUUUUCAUUUUCCAUAUCUAGAUUCAGAUCAAAAUCGAGUGGUUGGUUCUUACGGUUAUGGCGCUCCUGCUCCGGUACUCGUUACGGUUACUGAUUCUUGUGCAUGUGUGUUUUAGACUUUUGGAUCUAUGUCGUCGAUUUCUUCUUUGCAUGCGCCUGUCUCAGUUCUAUUCCUCUGUAGUUUUAGUGCUUAUCUUUGUUGCUCUGUUGGUGAAGAUGAUUGGUUAGAAUAGGAGGGCUUAUCCUUGGUAUCUAUUGCAACGAUUCGAUUUCGGCUAGGAUCGUGUUUUCUGGUCUUAUGCAGAGAAAUUCCGGAAACACUGCUUUUUUUCUGAAGGACUAGGAGCUUAUGCUAUUUAACAUCAGAUCGUCGGAAAGUAUUAGGUAAACCAGUCUCUUCACUGCGCCUUCUUUGGUUGUGUCAGUGCGAUCCUGCUUGUGGCUCCGAUGUGGAGCAAUAUAAUGAGUGAUGGCUUGAUCCUCUUGAAUAAAUGUUUGAACCGAGCUUGGUCGGAUUCUAGUAAGAUAGGAAAAACUCGUCGGUGGGUUAGUUCGAAGGCAUUUUCUAUUGAUCAGAAAUGUUUGUCGGUUACAAAUGAGGAAAUAAGCGGAGUAAAUACGGCGGUGCUCGCAGAGCUGGCCGGGAAAGUACAAGUCGACAGAAUACAAGAUAAGUAAAAUGCUAAUUCUAGCCGCCAAGUAUGAGUGUUGAUAUUCGGAUGGGUCCGAGUUACCGGCGAAGGGUGGAAAACAAAGUUUUUCCAUUGGGCGGAGACUGAUGGGGGUUCUGAGUGUUUCAGCGAGAACGCGAUCGAUUUGCGGGGUAGAGCUCAUGAUGUGGUGGAUCUUAGAAUGGAUGUCUUGGAGUGAGAGCUUGAGCUCGGCGAUUUCCCGGACGAUAGUUAGAGCCGGGCCAUUAGGGUUUUGCCCGGUGGUGGCUGUACGGUCUGUGUUAAAUAGCUGUCUUUGAAUGGUCGGAGGGUUGCUCGUGUUCGGUUGUCGCCUUUUCUGCUUCUUCCUAUUAGUGGAGACAAGCCAUGACGAACUCUGACAUGGUUGGUGCUGCGGCAACAAGGGUGGGUUCCGACUCUUCACUGGAGGUCAAUUCUCGAGAUUCAUGUUGAUAUGUGUCGAUGCUUCUUCGUUUUGCCCCAUGGUGGGUGCCAAAUGUUUAAUCCAUAGCUGUGUGUAUUGGAAUCAGACAUUAUAUUUUUAUGUAGGUUUAGGAAAAGUUUUCAUAAUGAGAACCAAAUGGAAAAGAAAAACAUAAAAUUUUUUUUAUAGAUUAUAGAUUUCAUUACAAAGAUAUAUUUUUCUUAGAAGUGUAAAGUGAAUCUAAGAAUCUAUAAAAUCUUUCUCGA